This 462-nucleotide ribosomal RNA is filed under the name uncultured bacterium. RNAcentral describes it as "bacterial SSU rRNA". It matches the Rfam family "Bacterial small subunit ribosomal RNA", at positions 33 to 507 of the family's 1533-position model. The record is from RNAcentral.
ACGCUGGCGGCGUGCUUAACACAUGCAAGUCGAACGGUGAAGGGAAGCUUGCUUCCCGGAUCACGUGGCGAACGGGUGAGUAACACGUGGGCAAUCUGCCCCAGACUUUGGGAUAACUACUCGAAAGAGUAGCUAAUACCGAAUAUUCAGCCUUGCAGGCAUCUGCGAGGCUGGAAAGUUUCUCGGUCUGGGAUGAGCCCGCGGCCUAUCAGCUAGUUGGUGAGGUAAUGGCUCACCAAGGCGACGACGGGUAGCCGGCCUGAGAGGGCGACCGGCCACACUGGGACUGAGACACGGCCCAGACUCCUACGGGAGGCAGCAGUGGGGAAUAUUGCGCAAUGGGCGAAAGCCUGACGCAGCAACGCCGCGUGCGGGAUGAAGGCCUUCGGGUUGUAAACCGCUUUCAGCAGGGAAGAAGCGAAAGUGACGGUACCUGCAGAAGAAGCACCGGCUAACUACGUG